AUGGGCUUCAAAGUGCUGUUCGUGCAGGUAGCUUAAUAACAGACCUACUGCAUGGGCGGCACUUCCCAAGCCC
Molecule: microRNA precursor, 73 nt
Organism: Xenopus tropicalis (tropical clawed frog)
Lineage: Eukaryota; Metazoa; Chordata; Amphibia; Anura; Pipidae
Gene: xtr-mir-93a
Product: xtr-mir-93a
Source: Ensembl